CUAUCCCACCCAGAAGAUCAGAGGCCAGGCUGAGAAUGGAGAUGGGGUGGACUCAGGAACCUCUCUUACCUCUGGAACUUUCAGGCAAUUUCUCUUUCCCCUUAUACCUGCUCCACCCUCAUUCUCUCCAUCCCAUGCCAGCCUAGAGGGGUGUGUGGCCUUGUUGCGCAGGCUAGGUUUCCUCUGCUGGGACAAGGCCUGGGGAUGGGGCCCCUGAUGCCCCCCGAGGUGUAUCUCAGUCCUGGCACAGCAGCCCACACUGGCAGGCCAGCACCACCAGGCAAGGUGGUGUUCUGUGCGGUCCUAGCCUCAUCCUAUAGCAGGUGGACAGGUGUGGAAUGGUGAGGGAGAGUCGGCAGCAGGUUUGGCUUUAUCAACCUCUGAUUGACAUUUAGCUUUUUCUUCCAUUUUGAAUGCAGGCAACAUUGCCCAAAGCAGUAUUAGCAGGACCCGUGUUUUUAAAAACUCUUUGGUUGGCACAUAAUAAUCGUCUGAGCUUAUGGGGUACAUUGAUAAUUGACAGAUGUCUGCGACUUGUAAUGAUUGUCAGAGUAAUUAGC
RNAcentral lists this long non-coding RNA (560 nucleotides) under Marmota monax (woodchuck). The record is from RNAcentral. Lineage: Eukaryota; Metazoa; Chordata; Mammalia; Rodentia; Sciuridae.